Molecule: ribosomal RNA, 689 nt
Filed under: uncultured Bacteroidales bacterium
Lineage: Bacteria; Pseudomonadati; Bacteroidota; Bacteroidia; Bacteroidales
Description: bacterial SSU rRNA
Rfam family: Bacterial small subunit ribosomal RNA
Source: RNAcentral
AACGCUAGCUACAGGCUUAACACAUGCAAGUCGAGGGGCAUCAUAGAGUGGCAACACUUGGGUGGCGACCGGCGCACGGGUGAGUAACACGUAUCCAACCUGUCCCAUACUCGGGGAUAGCCUUUCGAAAGAAAGAUUAAUACCCGAUGGUAUCUAUCUUUGGCAUCGAAGACAGAUUAAAGAAAUUCGGUAUGGGGUGGGGAUGCGUUCCAUUAGCUUGUUGGCGGGGUAACGGCCCACCAAGGCGACGAUGGAUAGGGGUUCUGAGAGGAAGGUCCCCCACAUUGGAACUGAGACACGGUCCAAACUCCUACGGGAGGCAGCAGUGAGGAAUAUUGGUCAAUGGACGAGAGUCUGAACCAGCCAAGUAGCGUGAAGGAUGACUGCCCUAUGGGUUGUAAACUUCUUUUAUAAGGGAAUAAAGUGCACCACGUGUGGUGUUUUGUAUGUACCUUAUGAAUAAGGAUCGGCUAACUCCGUGCCAGCAGCCGCGGUAAUACGGAGGAUCCGAGCGUUAUCCGGAUUUAUUGGGUUUAAAGGGAGCGUAGGCGGCGGGUUAAGUCAGUUGUGAAAGUUUGCGGCUCAACCGUAAAAUUGCAGUUGAUACUGGCCUGCUUGAGUGCGGCAGAGGCAGGCGGAAUUUGUGGUGUAGCGGUGAAAUGCUUAGAUAUCACGAAGAACUCCGAUUG